CGCACAUUGCGCCCGCCAGCAUUCUGGCGGGCAUGCCUGUUCGAGCGUCAUUUCAACCCUCGCGCCCAUCCGGGCUGCGGUGUUGGGGACCGGCACAACUCGCCCUCCGGGGCGGGCGCCGCCCCCCAAAUACAGUGGCGGUCUCGCUGCAGCCUCCCUUGCGUAGUAGCACAUCUCGCAUUGGAGCGCGGCGCGGCCACGCCGUAAAACCCCCGACCCCCUUGAGUUUGACCUCGGAUCAGGUAGGAAUACCCGCUGAACUUAA
Molecule: unclassified non-coding RNA, 265 nt
Filed under: Hypocreales sp.
Lineage: Eukaryota; Fungi; Ascomycota; Sordariomycetes; Hypocreales
Description: partial contains 5.8S ribosomal RNA, internal transcribed spacer 2, and large subunit ribosomal RNA
Source: RNAcentral